CAAAUUCAAACAUAAAUUUGAAAUGGCCAGCAGCAACCGCACGGCCUAAGCUGUGUGGGGAGAACAUUCCACUGCAGGUCCUUCUACGUUAUGAAACUCCCCAAUAAUAUUUAUUAUCCAAUAUUUAUAUUUGAAUAUCAAUUCAAAAUCAGCAGCAACCACACGGCCUGAGCUGUGUGGGGAGAACAUUCCACUGCAGGUCCUUCUACGUUAUUAAACUCCCCCAAAUUCAAAUAUAAAUUCAAAAUGAUCAGCGGCAACCACACGGCCUGAGCUGUGUGGGGAGAACAUUCCCGAAGUUGCAUCCACCCCAUCCUAACCCCAGCACGGGGCAGUUCUCAUUACUGACCACCUCAAGUGCAAAGAGAAGGGAAAAUCUGAUUUUUGUUUAAUUUUAAAGAAAUCUACAUUAUACAUUAUCAUACACGUGGUCUUCUACAUUAAAAAAAACUCACCUAAAUUUUGAUUAUUUGGUUUUGUUAUAUCCACUACUGCUGCUGCUGCUCCAGGGAGGGUUUAGUAAAACUCCUCAGAGCCAAGGUACACCAGGUGUACAUCCAAGGAGUUGUACAAUUCUCUCCCUCCCUGUGGCUCAAACCCUUCCCCUCAGCCUCCUGAUCUGACACCAUAUUCUCUUUUCCAGGCCGAAGCCCAAUUAAAAAAGAACAGCUUUCUAAUUUUAGGGAUUUAUGAAAAGCACGAAACAAAGUGUCUCAUUCUCCUCCUAUAAAUCUAUUUAUUUCCUUCAUGGCCAGGGGCAAAGGAGGUUUUUUGAACCCAUUUCCCAGCAAAAGGUCGUUUCCCUCGUGAUUCACCACCGGGUGAGGAAAUGCUGUGCCCUGACUGGUAAAAAUUCUGGGGAAAAAAAAAACCCUGUGGUGCCCAAAGCACGUCCCUUAUCCAUUUUAUACAAGAAUUGUCCAUGUUCCAAAGGAUUCCAAUGCUCCAGAGGUGUCUCAGCACUGCCCGUUCCUGGGAAAAGCUCUCCCAGGGACUGCGGGACGAGUCACGCCCGGAACAUCGGCGACAUUUUGAGGUUUCUUUUCCUUCUCACCCAAUUCUUGGGAGGCCUGAGGAGCGACUGCAAGAACCUUUGGAACUACAGAAGGAUUUUUCUGCAAGGCACCAGGAUGAAGCACCGACCCCAGAGGAGAAAAAAAUUGUAUUUUCCCUGGGCCAGCUUAAAAAGGCACCUUUCUUCGUGGGAGCCCUCUGAGCCUUCAAUGGUUAAUUUUUUUCCAGACAGUGAUCUAAACUGGCUCAACGGAUCCCACUACACCACUGCAGAAAAUCCAGGGCAAACAUCCCAUAAAUGCAGGGAUCUGGGAGUGGAGGAGCUGAACCUUGAUUUGGGGUGAUGCCACAACCCUGAGCCUCAGGACCAGCAAAAUCCUCCAAGGACUGGGGGAAGGAGCUGCAAGUGAGACCUAAACCCUGCGUGGGGCAAAGCCUGGAAGAAAGCACAGCUGAGCUGCCUCCUGCUGUAUUUUUCCACUUGAUGGGUGCAGGUAUUAAUUACUGAGCUGGGAAUUACUCACCCGAUGAGGGCCACCAUCUGCUCCACGAUGUGUUUGCUGAAGGUGAUGAUAACGAAGAGUUUCUGUGGAGGGACAAGAGCAGUCACACAAAGCCUGGAGCACUUUGUGCUCCUUCCCCAGCAGCUCCUGCCCAGCUUUCCCUCCUCUCCUCUUUAUUUUUCAAAGCCUGGAGCACUUUGUGCUCCUUCCCCAGCAGCUCCUGCCCACCUUUCUCUCCUCUCCUCUUUAUUUUUCAACUUUCUCCUCAGAAAAGAGGCAGGAGAGGGAAAAAAAAAAAAACAA
This is a long non-coding RNA of Vidua chalybeata, 1820 nucleotides long. RefSeq lists it as uncharacterized. The record is from RefSeq and is a predicted model, not a curated record. The transcript is spliced from 4 exons. Lineage: Eukaryota; Metazoa; Chordata; Aves; Passeriformes; Viduidae.